GUAAAAGAAACUAAUUUCCCACAACAAUCACCCAUCAUCACGCAUAACUUUUCUCUCUCCUCAGAUUCUUUCUCCUUCCUCUCGUUGCUUUCGGUUAUAACUUAUACACAUAACCUUCUUCAUCACUUUUUUUUUCAAAUUAAGUAUAUGAAUUGCGACACUGAAAUACAGUGUUUUUCAGCAUUUAAGAUUAGUUCGAGACACUCAUGCAAUAUGGCAAGGCAAAAGUUUCAUAAAUUUCGGGUCCUGGCGGGCGGGCGCCUUGCCUUCUCUGGCCCAGGGUCGGGUCUGCUCUCGAGAUAGUUUUGUCCAAAUUUUGGAUCGUAACAAAAAAAAAAUGGUUUGAAAUUAAGUGUUUUAUAUAGGGCUCAAGUAAAGAUUACGAGUUUUUUACUCGAUUUGAAAUUUUGUUUGUUUUGUAUUUUUUUUUCUAUUAAUUUGUAGGUUUGGUAUUAAGAGCUCCGAAUUGGUGGUGGGCGAGUUAAAUUCUGUGUAUUAUGGAUUGAGUUGUAAUAUAUAUAGUUGGUUUAGGAAUAGUUAUUGAUAUUUCAUUUGUAUAAUUUUGAGAAUUUAGUUAAGUUUUUGGUGUAAUUAAGGUGAUUUUCCAUUACGAUUUUAUUUGUUUAAGAGUUAAUUGUGGUUGAAUUGCGUUGAGUGUAUUUCAUUAGCAGUUGAAGAGUGGAGGUUGUUACAUAUAUGUAAACUUAAUUUUUUUUCAGAAUAUCUUUUUGUAGAAAGGA
Long non-coding RNA from Beta vulgaris subsp. vulgaris (sugar beet), 740 nucleotides. RefSeq lists it as uncharacterized. NCBI's taxonomy places the organism in Eukaryota, Viridiplantae, Streptophyta, Magnoliopsida, Caryophyllales, Amaranthaceae. The transcript is spliced from 2 exons. The record is from RefSeq and is a predicted model, not a curated record.